RNAcentral lists this ribosomal RNA (483 nucleotides) under uncultured bacterium. RNAcentral describes it as "partial 16S ribosomal RNA". It matches the Rfam family "Bacterial small subunit ribosomal RNA", at positions 29 to 507 of the family's 1533-position model. The record is from RNAcentral.
AUUGAACGCUGGCGGCAGGCCUAACACAUGCAAGUCGAGCGGAUGAAGGGAGCUUGCUCCUGGAUUCAGCGGCGGACGGGUGAGUAAUGCCUAGGAAUCUGCCUGGUAGUGGGGGAUAACGUCCGGAAACGGGCGCUAAUACCGCAUACGUGCUGAGGAUGAAGUGGGGGAGGGUUGGGACAGACGCGGUGGAUGGGGCCGGGGUCGGGGUAGCUAGGUGGUGGGGUAAAGGACUACCAAGGCGACGAUUCGAAAAGGGUCUGAGAGGAUGAUCAGUCACACUGGAACUUGGCCACGGUCCAGACUACUACGGGAGGGCGCAGUGGGGAAUAUUGGACAAUGGGCGAAAGCCUGAUCCAGCCAUGCCGCGUGUGUGACGAAGGUCUUCGGAUCGUAAAGAACUCUAAGUUGGGAGGAAGGGCAGUAAGUUAAUACCUUGCUGUUUUGACGUUACCAACAGAAUAAGCACCGGCUAACUUCGUG